RNAcentral lists this long non-coding RNA (560 nucleotides) under Populus trichocarpa (black cottonwood). RNAcentral's name for it is "long non-coding RNA (PTRI_LNC001352)". Lineage: Eukaryota; Viridiplantae; Streptophyta; Magnoliopsida; Malpighiales; Salicaceae. The record is from RNAcentral.
CAUCCAAAUGAAUCUCCACAGAUGUCAGGACAGGCAACUUUUCAAUCCUCACAGAAUGGUGGACAAUAUUCCUACGGGUCACCUUCAGUGGUCAGAAACCAUCCUGUAGGAUCCUCACCAGAUGCACCUUUUCAAUCGUCACAGAAUGGUGGACAAUAUUCUUACGGAUCACCUUCAGUGGUCAGAAACCACCCUGUAGGAUCCUCACCAAAUGCACCUUUCCAAUCCUCACAGAAUGGUGGACAAUAUUCUUACGGAUCACCUUCAGUGGUCAGAAACCAUCCUGUAGGAUCCUUACCAAAUGGAGGACAAUAUUCUAAUGGAUCACCUUCAGUGGUCAGACACCAUCCUGUAGGAUCCUCUCAGAUGGCUGGACAACAACAAGGGGAAGACAACCAGCAGCAGGUAACAGCUUGAAUCCUUGAUAUGAAAUCCUCUCUGCUCAUUGUUUUAAUUUUUGUUUGGACAGAAAAUUCUAGAUCAUUGUUGUUGCUGAGUAGAUAUUGCUCAUUGAGGGGAAGUUAUACCUCCCCUAUUUGUACCAAAUCCUUAGACAAGAC